This 376-nucleotide ribosomal RNA is filed under the name uncultured bacterium. RNAcentral's name for it is "bacterial SSU rRNA". It matches the Rfam family "Bacterial small subunit ribosomal RNA", at positions 28 to 407 of the family's 1533-position model. The record is from RNAcentral.
GACGAACGCUGGCGGCGUGCUUAACACAUGCAAGUCGAGCGGUAAGGCCCUUUCGGGGGUACACGAGCGGCGAACGGGUGAGUAACACGUGGGUGACCUGCCCUCAGCUCUGGGAUAAGCCUGGGAAACUGGGUCUAAUACCGGAUAUGACCUGCUGCUUCAUGGUGGUGGGUGGAAAGUUUUUCGGCUGGGGAUGGGCCCGCGGCCUAUCAGCUUGUUGGUGGGGUGAUGGCCUACCAAGGCGACGACGGGUAGCCGGCCUGAGAGGGCGACCGGCCACACUGGGACUGAGACACGGCCCAGACUCCUACGGGAGGCAGCAGUGGGGAAUAUUGCGCAAUGGGCGGAAGCCUGACGCAGCGACGCCGCGUGGGGA